AUGAGGGCGCUGGAGUGAGGAACAGAUUGGAGCCUUCCCACUUCCUCUCCAAUCUCAGCCCCCGGGAGGAGGGGUGAGGCCCUCGAGGGGGCCCGGAGUUAAGGAGGAAUAGACCGUUUCUCUCUCUCCUGUCUCCCCCGCCUCUGCCCGUCUUCCCUCUAAGCCGGCCUCUAGGUGCAGAGGCUGACGUCCAGGAUGGGGACCGGGGAAGCCUCUGGAGGGUAUAUCCGGGAAGGCACCAAGGCUGAAGUGAGAGCGGUUCUGGGGAAGGCUUUAAAAAGCAGAUAUGGACCAGGAAAGAUGCAGUCUAGCACCUCAGUUAAGAAUAUGGACUCUAAAGUCAGACUGCCAGGCUUCAAAUUCCAGUUCUGCGACCUCAGCAAAGUUACUUAACCAAGCUCUCAGUGCCUUGUUUUCUUCAUCUGUAAAAUGAGGAUGACGUCACAGCAUUGUUGAGAGAAUUAAUACAGGCUCCAGACUUGUGAAUGGAGAAGUGUUGAGGUGACCCCAGCUCCAGCCACCAGCUGACGACAACCAUACCGGAGAUCCUGAGAGCUGCCUAGCUGACCCCAGGCACCCCCCAGACUUCAUGUAAGCUGUUUGAAGCCGAGGACUUUGUCUGUUUUGUUCACUCCCAAUAGAUUCAGCACUUAGAAGAAUGCCAGGCAGGCUUUCCCCACCAACCAAGAUGGAAUAACAGGGAAAAGACAUACCCUUCUAUCUUCAAUAAUUGGAAACCCAGACAAAGUUUAUGAAACGCUGGUUUUCAAGACAUAGGACAUCAGACAAUCAAGGACAGUAAACACUGAGAUGGGAAACAAACAAGGUGAGUACUGCAAUUGCCCAACAUUACUAGCUGGAAAGAGUUUCCCGACCAUGGCAGAGGGAGGAGGAUCCUUUGAGGUUCUGUGGUGUCCCUGAGUUGAGGAGACAAAGUUGAAAUUCCAGAGUGGUCAAGGCAGCUGGAGUUUGUAGAGCAGAGUACCAGAAAGAAAAUAGAUGCACAGAGAGAACCUCAGAGAUCUGCAAAAGAUCUCAGCUCUUCAGCUGUGCACCUAUCAGUACAUGCAUGUGACAAAGCACCCCAAGGCCAGGGGAAGAAUCACCUGAAAGUAUGAAGAGAAGAAUACUUGGAGCAUAUACAAACCAGGAAUAAUUUCAGUUCUCACCAGCCAAAUUGGAAGACCCCAUAGAUAACAGGCAUUAGGUAGAGCAGGGGUCCCCAACCUCCAGGGGCACUGACCAGUACUGUUCAUGGCCUGUUAGGAACUGGGCUGCACAGCAGGAGGUGAGCGGCAGGCUAGCCAGCAAACCUUCAUCUGUAUUUAUAGCUCCCAUCACUUGCAUUACUCCCCAUCACUCCCCAUCACUUGCAUUACCACCUGAGCUCCACCUCCUCUCAGAUCAGCAGCAGCAUUAGAUUCUCAUAGGAGUGUGAACCCUACUGUGAACUGCACAUGCAAGGGAUCUAGGUUGUGCACUGUUUAUGAGAAUCUAAUGCCUGAUGAUCUGAGGUGCAGCUGAGGCAGCAUAGCUAGGAGGUAGGUAUUUUGUUGCUGGGGACUCAUAUCAAAACCCUAUCAGUGAGUGGCAAGUGACAAUUAAGCUGCAUCUGGUGGCAGACUUUAUAGAGGCAAGUGAGUCAAUGUAUUUCAAUUGCACAGCUCUAUCUGGUGGCAAGUUUUAAGUCAGAAUCUGACACUUAAUUUAGUCUGUGCAUGGCCUGCCCAUUAUUUUAUUUACCACUUCUGUCUGUGCCUCUUUGCUGCACUGAACACUUGUCUCAGUCACAGUUUUGGUAAGCCCACAAGCUAACCCUAGCUAAAAUGAGUAAAAAGCAAACGACACUGGAGAGCUUCUUUGAAAAGUCAGAGAGACCCAAUGAUGAGACAGCAGAAGACUCUUAAGACUGCCAACAAAAAGAAAGCUGCACUUAAAAGAAAAUACCAGACUGGGCGUGGUGGCUCACA
RNAcentral lists this long non-coding RNA (1970 nucleotides) under Homo sapiens (human). Its description in RNAcentral is "MSANTD2 antisense RNA 1". Lineage: Eukaryota; Metazoa; Chordata; Mammalia; Primates; Hominidae. The record is from RNAcentral.